AUUGAACGCUGGCGGCAGGCCUAACACAUGCAAGUCGAGCGGAUGAAGGGGGCUUGCUCCUGGAUUCAGCGGCGGACGGGUGAGUAAUGCGCAGGAAUCUACCUCGUAGUGGGGGAUAACGUCUCGAAAGGGGCGCUAAUACCGCAUACGUUCUGAGGAAGAAAGCAGGGGACCUUCGGGCCUUGCGCUAUGAGAUGAGCUUGCGUCCGAUUAGCUAGUUGGUGGGGUAAAGGCCUACCAAGGCGACGAUCGGUAACUGGUCUGAGAGGAUGAUCAGUCACACUGGAACUGAGACACGGUCCAGACUCCUACGGGAGGCAGCAGUGGGGAAUAUUGGACAAUGGGGGGCAACCCUGAUCCAGCCAUGCCGCGUGUGUGAAGAAGGCCUCGGUU
This 393-nucleotide ribosomal RNA is filed under the name uncultured bacterium. RNAcentral's name for it is "bacterial SSU rRNA". It matches the Rfam family "Bacterial small subunit ribosomal RNA", at positions 30 to 424 of the family's 1533-position model. The record is from RNAcentral.